RNA transcript from Odobenus rosmarus divergens (Pacific walrus), 333 nucleotides. RefSeq lists it as uncharacterized. The transcript has 5 exons. Lineage: Eukaryota; Metazoa; Chordata; Mammalia; Carnivora; Odobenidae. The record is from RefSeq and is a predicted model, not a curated record.
GGUCAUGAGCUUCCAGUGCUCACCCCCACCCUUCUUGCUGCCAGAUGUGGAAAUGGAGACCCAGAGAGGAAAAUCAGUUGAAUCCUGUCCUGGAGUUGCUUUGUGUUCCUGGCUUUGGAGAGUUCCUGGGAACCCAAGGAAAGCUAGCUCCACUCCUGGCCACCUCAUCCCUUUGAGUCUGAGAAGAUAUGAUUCCUAGGGAUGAAAGAGGAAGCUGUGGCCCUGGAGACGAGACCAUCUCUACUCCCCCAGCUCUCCCUGGCAGCACUGGGAGCCCAGGGUCCCCUGCUGGAAUACCCAUAAUAAAGCUCAGUCCUGAACUGAACCAACACA